Molecule: ribosomal RNA, 253 nt
Filed under: uncultured bacterium
Lineage: Bacteria
Description: partial 16S ribosomal RNA
Rfam family: Bacterial small subunit ribosomal RNA
Source: RNAcentral
UACGAAGGGGGCUAGCGUUGUUCGGAAUUACUGGGCGUAAAGGGCGGGUAGGCGGCCGAUUAAGUUAGAUGUGAAAGCCCUGAGCUCAACCUGGGGACUGCAUUUAAUACUGGUUGGCUUGAAUUCGGGAGAGGAUAGCGGAAUUCCCAGUGUAGAGGUGAAAUUCGUAGAUAUUGGGAAGAACACCGGUGGCGAAGGCGGCUAUCUGGACCGACAUUGACGCUGAGGCGCGAAAGCAUGGGGAGCGAACAGG